RNAcentral lists this long non-coding RNA (263 nucleotides) under Canis lupus familiaris (dog). RNAcentral describes it as "lncRNA (ENSCAFG00000037766.3, ENSCAFG00845009392.1)". Lineage: Eukaryota; Metazoa; Chordata; Mammalia; Carnivora; Canidae. The record is from RNAcentral.
ACCCAUUCUAUGAGCUCAGAAAAAUGAUGUCAUCUCUUGUAUCCAUUUUAUUAUCUCCCAAUUUCUAUUCUCAUUCUUUCAUAUCCAGAGGUACAUGUCAUCUGAAGCCUUGGGCCCUCCGCAUCAUAAAUCAGGAACAAAUCCAGGAGGGAGAAAGAGCAAAGGAGACAAGGACCUCGUUAAGAACACUAAGUUUCUGUGAGUUACUCUCUGGAACAAAAGUACUUUUCCCUUUUAUUUUUUUAAAGUGCUGUAAUUGCUAA